GACGAACGCUGGCGGCGUGCUUAACACAUGCAAGUCGAACGGUGAAGCGCUUGCCUUGUUGGUGGGUGUGGAUGAGUGGCGAACGGGUGAGUAACACGUGAGUAACCUGCCCUCUUCUUCUGGAUAACCUCAUGCAAGUGGGGCUAAUACAGGGUAUUCUGGGCCUGUCGCAUGGCGGGUUUGGGAAAGAUUGCGCGUUUGGGAGUGUUCGGUGGGGGCUGGGCUCGCGGCCUCUCAGUUUGUUGGUGUGGUGAUGCCCUACCAAGGCGGUGACCGGUCGGCGGCCUGAGAGGGUGGACGGCCACGCUGGGACUGAGACACGGCCCAGACGCGGGCGGGAGGCAGCAGUGGGGAAUAGUGCACAAUGGGCGCAAGCCUGAGGCAGCGACGCCGCGUGAGGGAGGGAGGCCUUCGGGUUGUGAACCUCUUUCGCCAGUGAAGCAGGCCUGCUCCUGUGUGGGUGGGUUGACGGUAGCUGGAUAAGAAGCGCCGGCUAACUACGUG
Molecule: ribosomal RNA, 504 nt
Filed under: uncultured bacterium
Lineage: Bacteria
Description: partial 16S ribosomal RNA
Rfam family: Bacterial small subunit ribosomal RNA
Source: RNAcentral